ACCAGAGUGGGCCAACCACCCCUCUCUCUCCAUCAUGGGCAGCAACUGCCCCACCCACCCCUCUCUCUCUCACUCCUGUGCUCCCAACCGGCCCAAGGAGCUAAGAGCUCCCUCUCUCCCUCCGUCUCUCAAGCACUCUCUCCCUCUCCCCAAAAUCUGAUCUCAAGAGAAGGAUUUGAGAAUGAGGAGCAUUGGUAUUCUUCCUCUUUCCGAGCGUUUCCUCCAUCCCCCGACGGUCACCAACCUCCACAAGCACCGUGGGUGUUACCGUCGAGGAGGAGUUGGUCUUUGGCUACUUCACGCCUGCCAAGGGUGGCGGGUAUGAGUAGAAAACUACUCGGUGGUCGCGC
This is a long non-coding RNA of Phragmites australis (common reed), 350 nucleotides long. RefSeq lists it as uncharacterized. The transcript is spliced from 3 exons. The record is from RefSeq and is a predicted model, not a curated record. Lineage: Eukaryota; Viridiplantae; Streptophyta; Magnoliopsida; Poales; Poaceae.